Molecule: ribosomal RNA, 1118 nt
Filed under: Hypophthalmus fimbriatus
Lineage: Eukaryota; Metazoa; Chordata; Actinopteri; Siluriformes; Pimelodidae
Description: partial 16S ribosomal RNA
Rfam family: Bacterial large subunit ribosomal RNA (bases 195-1102)
Source: RNAcentral
GCUAAACAGCUAGCUUAACCACCUAAAUAACAAACACACCAUUAAAAUAUCUAACAUAAACCCCAACCUAAUUAAACCAAAACAUUCUACCGCCCUAGUAUGGGAGACAGAAAAGGCACAACCCCUAAAGCAAUAACAAAAGUACCGCAAGGGAACGCUGAAAGAGAAAUGAAAUAAAUCAUUAAAGCACAACAAAGCAGAGACUAACCCUCGUACCUUUUGCAUCAUGAUUUAGCCAGUACUGUUGAGCAAAGAGUACUUUAGUUCAAGCCCCCGAAACUAAGUGAGCUACCCCGGGACAGCCUAUAAAUUAGGGCCAACCCGUCUCUGUGGCAAAAGAGUGGGAAGAUCCCCGGGUAGAGGUGACAGACCUACCGAACUUAGUUAUAGCUGGUUGCCUAAGAAAUGAAUAGAAGUUCAGCCUGCACUCCUCUACUCACGCCUUAAAACACGAGUCAGAGUAAUAUGCAAGAGUUAAUCAAAGGAGGUACAGCUCCUAUGAAACAGGACACAACCUUAUCAGGAGGUUAAAGAUUAUACUAACCAAGAUACACCGCUUCAGUGGGCCUAAAAGCAGCCACCAAAAUAGAAAGCGUUAAAGCUCAAGCAGAAUAAAAAUCUAUUAUUCAAAUAUAAAAUCUAAAACCCCUAAUUAUACUAGGCCGCCCUAUGCACACAUAGAAGAGAUGCUGCUAAAAUGAGUAAUAAGAAGGGAACCCCCUUCUCCCCGGCCUACGUGUAAGCUAGAUCGAACCCCCACUAGUAAUUAUCGAACCCAAUACAAGAGGGCAAUGUGUUUACAUAAGACAUCAAGAAAACCCCACACAACAAAAUCGUUAACCCCACACCGGAAGGCCACAAAAUAAGGAAAGACUAAAAGAAAAGGAAGGAACUCGGCAAACACAAGCCUCGCCUGUUUACCAAAAACAUCGCCUCCUGCAAAAAUCAACGUAUAGGAGGUCUUACCUGCCCAGUGACAAGUUUAACGGCCGCGGUAUUUUGACCGUGCAAAGGUAGCGCAAUCACUUGUCUUUUAAAUGAAGACCUGUAUGAAUGGUAGAACGAGGGCUUAACUGUCUCCCCUUUCAAGUCAAUGAAAUUGAUCUGCCCGUGCAGAA